Molecule: ribosomal RNA, 591 nt
Filed under: uncultured bacterium
Lineage: Bacteria
Description: partial 16S ribosomal RNA
Rfam family: Bacterial small subunit ribosomal RNA
Source: RNAcentral
UGGGGAAUUUUGGACAAUGGGCGAAAGCCUGAUCCAGCAAUGCCGCGUGUGUGAAGAAGGCCUUCGGGUUGUAAAGCACUUUUGUCCGGAAAGAAAUCCUUGGCUCUAAUACAGUCGGGGGAUGACGGUACCGGAAGAAUAAGCACCGGCUAACUACGUGCCAGCAGCCGCGGUAAUACGUAGGGUGCAAGCGUUAAUCGGAAUUACUGGGCGUAAAACGUGCGCAGGCGGUUUGCUAAGACCGAUGUGAAAUCCCCGGGCUCAACCUGGGAACUGCAUUGGUGACUGGCAGGCUAGAGUAUGGCAGAGGGGGGUAGAAUUCCACGUGUAGCAGUGAAAUGCGUAGAGAUGUGGAGGAAUACCGAUGGCGAAGGCAGCCCCCUGGGCCAAAUACUGACGCUCAUGCACGAAAAGCGUGGGGGAGCAAAACAGGAUUAGAUACCCUGGUAGUCCACGCCCUAAAACGAUGUCAACUAGUUGUUGGGGAUUCAUUUCCUUAGUAACGUAGCUAACGCGUGAAGUUGACCGCCUGGGGAGUACGGUCGCAAGAUUAAAAACUUAAAGGAAUUGACGGGGUCAUAGCUGUUUCCU